Molecule: ribosomal RNA, 355 nt
Filed under: uncultured bacterium
Lineage: Bacteria
Description: partial 16S ribosomal RNA
Rfam family: Bacterial small subunit ribosomal RNA
Source: RNAcentral
CCUACGGGAGGCAGCAGUGGGGAAUCUUUCACAAUGGGGGAAACCCUGAUGCAGCGACGCCGCGUGAAGGAAGAAGUAUUUUGGUAUGUAAACUUCUAUCAGCAGGGGAGCAAAUGACGGUACCUGACUAAGAAGCGCCGGCUACCUACGUGCCAGCAGCCGCGGUCAUACGGAGGGGGCAAGCGUUAUCCGGAUUUACUGGGUGUAAAGGGAGCGUAGGCGGCGAUGCAAGUCAGAAGUGAAAGCCCGGGGCUCAACUCCGGGACUGCUUUUGAAACUGGUUUGCUAGAUUGCAGGAGAGGUAAGUGGAAUUCCUAGUGUAGCGGUGAAAUGCGUAGAUAUUAGGAGGAACACC